CAACACGGGGAGGUAGUGACAAGAAAUAACGAUACGGGGUCUUAAUAGGUCUCGCAAUUGGAAUGAGUACAAUUUAAAUCCUUUAACGAGGAUCAAUUGGAGGGCAAGUCUGGUGCCAGCAGCCGCGGUAAUUCCAGCUCCAAUAGCGUAUAUUAAAGUUGUUGCAGUUAAAAAGCUCGUAGUUGGAUUUCGGAAUGGGCCUGUUGGUCCGCCGUGAGGUGUGUUACUGACUGGUCUGUUCUUCUUCGCAAAGACUGCGUGUGCUCUUUAUUGAGUGUGCGUAGGAUUUACGACGUUUACUUUGAAAAAAUUAGAGUGUUCAAAGCAGGCUAUCGCUUGAAUACAUGAGCAUGGAAUAAUGGAAUAGGACUUUGGUUCUAUUUUGUUGGUUUCUAGGACCGAAGUAAUGAUUAAGAGGGACAAUUGGGGGCAUCCGUAUUUCGUUGUCAGAGGUGAAAUUCUUGGAUUUACGAAAAACGAACAACUGCGAAAGCACUUGCCAAGAGUGUUUUCAUUAAUCAAGAACGAAAGUUAGAGGAUCGAAGACGAUCAGAUACCGUCCUAGUUCUAACCAUAAACGAUGUCGACUAGGGAUCAGCGGGCGUUAUUGUACGACCUCGUUGGCACCUUACGGGAAACCAAAGUUUUUGGAUUCCGGGGGAAGUAUGGUUGCAAAGCUGAAACUUAAAGGAAUUGACGGAAGGGCACCACCAGGAGUGGAGCCUG
Molecule: ribosomal RNA, 726 nt
Filed under: uncultured marine eukaryote
Lineage: Eukaryota
Description: SSU rRNA
Rfam family: Eukaryotic small subunit ribosomal RNA
Source: RNAcentral